Molecule: ribosomal RNA, 253 nt
Filed under: uncultured bacterium
Lineage: Bacteria
Description: partial 16S ribosomal RNA
Rfam family: Bacterial small subunit ribosomal RNA
Source: RNAcentral
CACGAACUGUGCGAACGUUAUUCGGAAUUACUGGGCUUAAAGAGUUCGUAGGCGGCUUGUUAAGUCGGGUGUGAAAUCCCUCGUCUCAACCGAGGAAUUGCGCUCGAAACUGGCGGGCUUGAGUGAGAUAGAGGUGAGCGGAACUGAUGGUGGAGCGGUGAAAUGCGUUGAUAUCAUCAGGAACACCGGUUGCGAAGGCGGCUCACUGGGUCUUUACUGACGCUGAGGAACGAAAGCUAGGGGAGCGAACGGG